GUGAGUUCAUAUGGGUUGAUGUUGCUGUUUAGUGCUGCUUUAUCCUUGUUAAUGGCUGAUUUCAUGCCUUGUUUUGAUUGAGCAAUGAUGAUGAUGGCCUUAUUCUGAGCUGUUUUAUUAGUGCUGAUUUGAUUUUAGUGAGUUCAUAUGGGUUGAUUUUGCUGUUUGUUUAAAUUCAGAAACGUCCUAUUUACUGCCAUAAUGUUGCCGAAAUUUCUAAAAAUUUGUGUGUUAAUUGAAUUUCAAUUUGUGAAUUGAAUUUGGUAAUUUGUUGCUUUAGUUUAAUUUCUAAAAGUUACACGAGCAUUCAAUAUGUUUGAAUUGGGAAUAAGACUAAAAAAUGAUGAAUUUUAUGUUUUGUUAACUCUUGAGAUAUGUUUAAAUUGGCAGAUAUCAAGUGAAGAAGCUAUAGAAACUGCAAAGCAACUAAUGCUUAAAGAAGGCCUGUUUGUAAGUUCCCUAAUAAGAUGCAGAAGACGAGCGAGAAACUUUUUUGGUUGAUGAAGAUGAUGAAGACAAUGACGGGAAUGGGAAUGCCAUUGGUGAGUGGGGAUAUCUGUGCAAUUUAAACAGUUUUGGAAGUGGAGAGCAUCGCCACAAGGGUAGGACAAGUGAGGAGCAGAAGAACAAGGAUAGGACAAGUGAGGAGCAUCGACGGCUGCAGAUUCUCGAACCGAAAUCAAGGGUUGAUAUCGGUUCUUUUCCCUAGGUCUCCACGUAGGGUUGAUAUCAAUUCAAUUUCAGUUUCCAGCAAAGGUUAAAAAUAUCUCUGCUUAGGGUUUUAGCACUUUACAAAGGUACUCUCCCAGGCUCCAAUUCUCUUCUUUUUCUUCUUCACUGUGCUGCUCUUGUUUAUAUUUUUUUAAUCUCCACCUUGUUCUUUCUUCAUCUUUCGAUUCAAUUUAUUGUUGUUUAUAUUUUUUAAUCUCCGCACUUGACAAGUUGAGAAUUAUCUUGCUAUGCUACCUAUGAUAUUGAUAUAUCUCUUUUCGUUUUGGUUUUCAAUCUGCUGGUUUUAUUUCAUUGGUUAUUGCAAGGGUUUGAUCAAGGAGCUUGAAAUUUGAUUGAUAAAUAGCUCUCUGAAACUAAUAGUUAGGUAAUGAAGCGUUAAAAAUGGCUGGCUUUUGAAUUUAUGUUAUUGAUUAGGACAAGAACAAUGAAAUGAUUUUAUAUAGUUUGAGUGUAACAAGCUGAAGUAAAUAAUUUUUCUUUCUGCACUUCUUUGUUUUUCGUCUCAUAUGUGUCGACAAUCUGGUUUUUUGUUGUUGAAAUACCAUAUAUAGAACAUAAUAAUAAUAAUCAAGGUUUACGGUUUACUUCAGGUUCCAACGAUGGCUUUCUUUGGUUGAAUUGGGAAUUUACUCAGAAAUGCUGCAAACAAGCAGAUCAGUUCAGAAUUGCUCCCAUCCCCAUCUAUUCUCCAGGAAAUACGGUGCAUGUCAUCUGCUCCAAACUCAAAACUGUUCAUUGGAGGUAUUUCAUAUUCUACUGAUGAGUAAGGUUUGAGGGAGGCAUUUCAAGAUAUGGAGAAGUUGUUGAUGGUACAUACAAUUACUCAUUUUUUCCUAUGCAGACUCGAUCCAUGGCAGGGAAACCCUUUUGUUUGAGGAGACUCAGAAAAAGCAGCAUUGUUCUUAUUCUGAAGAGUUUGCAACCCCCGAGAGAGCUUGAAUGAACAAGACUCGGAAUUUAGGAAGAAAUGCUGAUUCUGGUUCAAACUUGAGGCCUCAGAAUUUAUAGGAAGCAGCAUUGUUCCAAAAAUAUGAUGAAGAAAUGUCCCUCUUAGACAGAAUUAGUGCACAGAAACUUGAGGAAACAGAGUAUUUAAGAUCCAUGGAAGCCUCUCCAAGAUCAAUUUCAGAGCGUAUUUGCAUCAAGUGUGAAGAAGAAAGCAUGUGAUAUAGGUCACAAUAACCCAUAUGGUGAACUAGAGGCCGCUUAUGUUGCUGGAAUUAUUGGGUGAUUGUGUUGUGGAUGUUGGAGCUAUGUUGCAAUAGCUACUAUUAUUAUUCUCCAUCUGGUUGAAGCUGCUGCAGGUUCCAUCACUGACUACUGGAGAGGAUGCUACUAAUGUUGGCAACAAUUGAUGAAGAGUGAGGGUCUCUUGGCCGGAAUUAGUCUAUCACAUUAUAAUAAAGCUUCCAGUUUAGUGUUUCAAUAAACACACUCACAUUCUUUUGUUAUUAUAUUUUUUGCAAACUUAGAUGAUAUUGUGGAUCUUACAACAAUUUUUAUAAAUUUGAUGGGAAAUGUUGAAUUUUUUUUCUUUA
Long non-coding RNA from Arachis duranensis, 2270 nucleotides. RefSeq lists it as uncharacterized. The transcript is spliced from 4 exons. NCBI's taxonomy places the organism in Eukaryota, Viridiplantae, Streptophyta, Magnoliopsida, Fabales, Fabaceae. The record is from RefSeq and is a predicted model, not a curated record.